Molecule: ribosomal RNA, 408 nt
Filed under: uncultured rumen bacterium
Lineage: Bacteria
Description: bacterial SSU rRNA
Rfam family: Bacterial small subunit ribosomal RNA
Source: RNAcentral
CAGCAGCCGCGGUAAUACGAAGGGGGCUAGCGUUGCUCGGAAUUUACUGGGCGUAAAGGGCGCGUAGGCGGACAGUUGAGUUGGGGGUGAAAGCCCGGGGCUCAACCUCGGAAAUGCCUUCAAUACUGGCUGUCUUGAGUACGGGAGAGGUGUGUGGAACUCCGAGUGUAGAGGUGAAAUUCGUAGAUAUUCGGAAGAACACCAGUGGCGAAGGCGACUCACUGGCCCGUUACUGACGCUGAGGCGCGAAAGCGUGGGGAGCAAACAGGAUUAGAUACCCUGGUAGUCCACGCCGUAAACGAUGAGUGCUAGUUGUCGGCAUGCAUGCAUGUCGGUGACGCAGCUAACGCAUUAAGCACUCCGCCUGGGGAGUACGGUCGCAAGAUUAAAACUCAAAGAAAUUGACGG